UUAAGCGACUAAGCGUACACGGUGGAUGCCCUGGCAGUCAGAGGCGAUGAAGGACGUGCUAAUCUGCGAUAAGCGUCGGUAAGGUGAUAUGAACCGUUAUAACCGGCGAUUUCCGAAUGGGGAAACCCAGUGUGUUUCGACACACUAUCAUUAACUGAAUCCAUAGGUUAAUGAGGCGAACCGGGGGAACUGAAACAUCUAAGUACCCCGAGGAAAAGAAAUCAACCGAGAUUCCCCCAGUAGCGGCGAGCGAACGGGGAGCAGCCCAGAGCCUGAAUCAGUAUGUGUGUUAGUGGAAGCGUCUGGAAAGGCGCGCGAUACAGGGUGACAGCCCCGUACACAAAAAUGCACAUAUUGUGAGCUCGAUGAGUAGGGCGGGACACGUGGUAUCCUGUCUGAAUAUGGGGGGACCAUCCUCCAAGGCUAAAUACUCCUGACUGACCGAUAGUGAACCAGUACCGUGAGGGAAAGGCGAAAAGAACCCCGGCGAGGGGAGUGAAAAAGAACCUGAAACCGUGUACGUACAAGCAGUGGGAGCACGCUUAGGCGUGUGACUGCGUACCUUUUGUAUAAUGGGUCAGCGACUUAUAUUCUGUAGCAAGGUUAACCGAAUAGGGGAGCCGAAGGGAAACCGAGUCUUAACUGGGCGUUAAGUUGCAGGGUAUAGACCCGAAACCCGGUGAUCUAGCCAUGGGCAGGUUGAAGGUUGGGUAACACUAACUGGAGGACCGAACCGACUAAUGUUGAAAAAUUAGCGGAUGACUUGUGGCUGGGGGUGAAAGGCCAAUCAAACCGGGAGAUAGCUGGUUCUCCCCGAAAGCUAUUUAGGUAGCGCCUCGUGAAUUCAUCUCCGGGGGUAGAGCACUGUUUCGGCAAGGGGGUCAUCCCGACUUACCAACCCGAUGCAAACUGCGAAUACCGGAGAAUGUUAUCACGGGAGACACACGGCGGGUGCUAACGUCCGUCGUGAAGAGGGAAACAACCCAGACCGCCAGCUAAGGUCCCAAAGUCAUGGUUAAGUGGGAAACGAUGUGGGAAGGCCCAGACAGCCAGGAUGUUGGCUUAGAAGCAGCCAUCAUUUAAAGAAAGCGUAAUAGCUCACUGGUCGAGUCGGCCUGCGCGGAAGAUGUAACGGGGCUAAACCAUGCACCGAAGCUGCGGCAGCGACACUAUGUGUUGUUGGGUAGGGGAGCGUUCUGUAAGCCUGUGAAGGUGUGCUGUGAGGCAUGCUGGAGGUAUCAGAAGUGCGAAUGCUGACAUAAGUAACGAUAAAGCGGGUGAAAAGCCCGCUCGCCGGAAGACCAAGGGUUCCUGUCCAACGUUAAUCGGGGCAGGGUGAGUCGACCCUAAGGCGAGGCCGAAAGGCGUAGUCGAUGGGAAACAGGUUAAUAUUCCUGUACUUGGUGUUACUGCGAAGGGGGGACGGAGAAGGCUAUGUUGGCCGGGCGACGGUUGUCCCGGUUUAAGCGUGUAGGCUGGUUUUCCAGGCAAAUCCGGAAAAUCAAGGCUGAGGCGUGAUGACGAGGCACUACGGUGCUGAAGCAACAAAUGCCCUGCUUCCAGGAAAAGCCUCUAAGCAUCAGGUAACAUCAAAUCGUACCCCAAACCGACACAGGUGGUCAGGUAGAGAAUACCAAGGCGCUUGAGAGAACUCGGGUGAAGGAACUAGGCAAAAUGGUGCCGUAACUUCGGGAGAAGGCACGCUGAUAUGUAGGUGAAGUCCCUCGCGGAUGGAGCUGAAAUCAGUCGAAGAUACCAGCUGGCUGCAACUGUUUAUUAAAAACACAGCACUGUGCAAACACGAAAGUGGACGUAUACGGUGUGACGCCUGCCCGGUGCCGGAAGGUUAAUUGAUGGGGUUAGCCGCAAGGCGAAGCUCUUGAUCGAAGCCCCGGUAAACGGCGGCCGUAACUAUAACGGUCCUAAGGUAGCGAAAUUCCUUGUCGGGUAAGUUCCGACCUGCACGAAUGGCGUAAUGAUGGCCAGGCUGUCUCCACCCGAGACUCAGUGAAAUUGAACUCGCUGUGAAGAUGCAGUGUACCCGCGGCAAGACGGAAAGACCCCGUGAACCUUUACUAUAGCUUGACACUGAACAUUGAGCCUUGAUGUGUAGGAUAGGUGGGAGGCUUUGAAGUGUGGACGCCAGUCUGCAUGGAGCCGACCUUGAAAUACCACCCUUUAAUGUUUGAUGUUCUAACGUUGACCCGUAAUCCGGGUUGCGGACAGUGUCUGGUGGGUAGUUUGACUGGGGCGGUCUCCUCCUAAAGAGUAACGGAGGAGCACGAAGGUUGGCUAAUCCUGGUCGGACAUCAGGAGGUUAGUGCAAUGGCAUAAGCCAGCUUGACUGCGAGCGUGACGGCGCGAGCAGGUGCGAAAGCAGGUCAUAGUGAUCCGGUGGUUCUGAAUGGAAGGGCCAUCGCUCAACGGAUAAAAGGUACUCCGGGGAUAACAGGCUGAUACCGCCCAAGAGUUCAUAUCGACGGCGGUGUUUGGCACCUCGAUGUCGGCUCAUCACAUCCUGGGGCUGAAGUAGGUCCCAAGGGUAUGGCUGUUCGCCAUUUAAAGUGGUACGCGAGCUGGGUUUAGAACGUCGUGAGACAGUUCGGUCCCUAUCUGCCGUGGGCGCUGGAGAACUGAGGGGGGCUGCUCCUAGUACGAGAGGACCGGAGUGGACGCAUCACUGGUGUUCGGGUUGUCAUGCCAAUGGCACUGCCCGGUAGCUAAAUGCGGAAGAGAUAAGUGCUGAAAGCAUCUAAGCACGAAACUUGCCCCGAGAUGAGUUCUCCCUGACUCCUUGAGAGUCCUGAAGGAACGUUGAAGACGACGACGUUGAUAGGCCGGGUGUGUAAGCGCAGCGAUGCGUUGAGCUAACCGGUACUAAUGAACCGUGAGGCUUAACCUU
RNAcentral lists this ribosomal RNA (2902 nucleotides) under Escherichia coli. RNAcentral describes it as "bacterial LSU rRNA". It matches the Rfam family "Bacterial large subunit ribosomal RNA". The record is from RNAcentral. Lineage: Bacteria; Pseudomonadati; Pseudomonadota; Gammaproteobacteria; Enterobacterales; Enterobacteriaceae.